This 229-nucleotide ribosomal RNA is filed under the name uncultured bacterium. RNAcentral describes it as "partial 16S ribosomal RNA". It matches the Rfam family "Bacterial small subunit ribosomal RNA", at positions 568 to 796 of the family's 1533-position model. The record is from RNAcentral.
CGUGUAGGCGGAUUCGCAAGUCAAAUGUGAAAACCGGCGGCUUAACCUCCGGCGUGCAUUUGAAACUGCAGAUCUUGAGUACGGAAGAGGAGAGUGGAAUUCCAGGUGUAGCGGUGACAUGCGUAGAUAUCUGGAAGAACACCGGUGGCGAAGGCGGCUCUCUGGUCCGAUACUGACGCUGAGGCGCGAAAGCUAGGGGAGCAAACAGGAUUAGAUACCCUGGUAGUCC